UACGGAGGGUGCGAGCGUUGUCCGGAAUCACUGGGCGUAAAGGGCGCGUAGGUGGCAGCGUAAGCGUGUGGUGAAAGCUCGGGGCUCAACCCUGAGUCGGCCAUGCGAACUGCGUUGCUCGAGCACUGUAGAGGCAGACGGAAUUCCGGGUGUAGCGGUGGAAUGCGUAGAGAUCCGGAAGAACACCGGUGGCGAAGGCGGUCUGCUGGGCAGUUGCUGACACUGAGGCGCGACAGCGUGGGGAGCAAACAGGAUUAGAAACCCCCGUAGUCC
Molecule: ribosomal RNA, 273 nt
Filed under: uncultured bacterium
Lineage: Bacteria
Description: partial 16S ribosomal RNA
Rfam family: Bacterial small subunit ribosomal RNA
Source: RNAcentral